GACGAACGCUGGCGGCGUGCUUAACACAUGCAAGUCGAACGGAAAGGCCCUGCUUUCGUGGGGUUCUCGAGGGGCGAACGGGAGAGUAACACGUGAGUAACCUGCCCUUGACUUUGGGAUAACUUCAGGAAACUGGGGCUAAUACCGGAUAGGAGCUCCUGCUGCAUGGUGGGGGUUGGAAAGUUUCGGCGGUUGGGGAUAGACUCUCGGCUAAUCAGCUGGUGGGGGGGGGAGUGGCGUACCAAGGGAUUGACGGAUAGCCGGCAUGAGAGGGUGGCCGGCGACCUUGCGACUGAGAGAGGGAGCAGUAUCGAAUCUGAGGCAGUAGUCGGGAAUCUUACACAGUGGGCGGGAGCGUGUUGCAAAAAUGUCGCGAUCGGGAUGACGGCCUUCGGGUUGUAAACCGCUUUCGGCUGAGACGAUGCGUGAGUGACGGUAACGAGUAAAGAAGCACCGGCUAACUACGUG
Molecule: ribosomal RNA, 468 nt
Filed under: uncultured bacterium
Lineage: Bacteria
Description: partial 16S ribosomal RNA
Rfam family: Bacterial small subunit ribosomal RNA
Source: RNAcentral